GUGUAGUAUUUAUAAGAUUUUAACAUUGUUUAAUAAGGAACAUACGCUACUUGUGUUUUUUUUACUUUUUAGUGACAAAAUUCUUUGUACAGUCAUUUGGUUGUAAAUGCAAAAGUAAACAUGCAUGACCUUAAGGAUUGUUGUCGUCAUAAUACCUUUACGCUGCAUCAUUCUAUUUGUGGUGUUCCUCGUCAUUCAGACCUGAACGUUAUUACGUUGCACAUGCACAUGUCAUUCUUUUCUUGUCUUUUAAACAAAUUGAUCAAUUUCAUUGUACCUUUUCGGUUACCAAUUUUCUUACUAUACAGUUUCAUUUAAGUAUCUCCAU
This 328-nucleotide long non-coding RNA is filed under the name Mytilus galloprovincialis (Mediterranean mussel). The record is from RNAcentral. Lineage: Eukaryota; Metazoa; Mollusca; Bivalvia; Mytilida; Mytilidae.